This 70-nucleotide transfer RNA is filed under the name Acanthopagrus schlegelii (black porgy). RNAcentral's name for it is "tRNA-Ile". It matches the Rfam family "tRNA". Rfam says of the family: Transfer RNA (tRNA) molecules are approximately 80 nucleotides in length. Their secondary structure includes four short double-helical elements and three loops (D, anti-codon, and T loops). RNAcentral also lists the same sequence under 1 other name. Lineage: Eukaryota; Metazoa; Chordata; Actinopteri; Spariformes; Sparidae. The record is from RNAcentral.
GGAGCUGUGCCUGAAGUAAAGGGCCACUUUGAUAGAGUGAAUUAUGGAGGUUAAAUUCCUCCCAACUCCU